Molecule: ribosomal RNA, 451 nt
Filed under: Staphylococcus aureus
Lineage: Bacteria; Bacillati; Bacillota; Bacilli; Caryophanales; Staphylococcaceae
Description: partial 23S ribosomal RNA
Rfam family: Bacterial large subunit ribosomal RNA
Source: RNAcentral
UGUGGCGUUGCCCAGACAACUAGGAUGUUGGCUUAGAAGCAGCCAUCAUUUAAAGAGUGCGUAAUAGCUCACUAGUCGAGUGACACUGCGCCGAAAAUGUACCGGGGCUAAACAUAUUACCGAAGCUGUGGAUUGUCCUUUGGACAAUGGUAGGAGAGCGUUCUAAGGGCGUUGAAGCAUGAUCGUAAGGACAUGUGGAGCGCUUAGAAGUGAGAAUGCCGGUGUGAGUAGCGAAAGACGGGUGAGAAUCCCGUCCACCGAUUGACUAAGGUUUCCAGAGGAAGGCUCGUCCGCUCUGGGUUAGUCGGGUCCUAAGCUGAGGCCGACAGGCGUAGGCGAUGGAUAACAGGUUGAUAUUCCUGUACCACCUAUAAUCGUUUUAAUCGAUGGGGGGACGCAGUAGGAUAGGCGAAGCGUGCGAUUGGAUUGCACGUCUAAGCAGUAAGGCUGA